RNAcentral lists this ribosomal RNA (424 nucleotides) under uncultured archaeon. RNAcentral describes it as "bacterial SSU rRNA". It matches the Rfam family "Archaeal small subunit ribosomal RNA", at positions 60 to 490 of the family's 1478-position model. The record is from RNAcentral.
CAACGUAGAAAUACGUGGCAUACGGCUCAGUAACACGUAGUCAACAUGCCCAGGGGACGUGGAUAACCUCGGGAAACUGAGGAUAAACCGCGAUAGGCCAUGAUUUCUGGAAUGGUUCAUGGCCGAAAUCUAUAUGGCCCCUGGAUUGGACUGCGGCCGAUCAGGCUGUUGGUGAGGUAAUGGCCCACCAAACCUGUAACCGGUACGGGCUCUGAGAGGAGGAGCCCGGAGAUGGGCACUGAGACAAGGGCCCAGGCCCUAUGGGGCGCAGCAGGCGCGAAAUCUCUGCAAUAGGCGAAAGCUUGACAGGGUUACUCUGAGUGGUUCCCGUUAAGGGGAUCUUUUGGCACCUUUAAAAAUGGUGCAGAAUAAGGGGUGGGCAAGUCUGGUGUCAGCCGCCGCGGUAAUACCAGCACCCCGAGUG